GAUGAACGCUGGCGGCGUGCCUAAUACAUGCAAGUCGAGCGAACAGACGAGAGUGCUUGCACUCUCUGACGUUAGCGGCGGACGGGUGAGUAACACGUGGGUAACCUACCUAUAAGACUGGGAUAACUUCGGGAAACCGGAGCUAAUACCGGAUAAUAUUUAGCUUCGCAUGAAGCAAUAGUGAAAGACGGUUCUGCUGUCACUUAUAGAUGGACCCGCGGUGUAUUAGCUAGUUGGUGAGGUAACGGCUCACCAAGGCAACGAUACAUAGCCGACCUGAGAGGGUGAUAGGCCACACUGGGACUGAGACACGGCCAAGACUCCUACGGGAGGCAGCAGUAGGGAAUCUUCCGCAAUGGACGAAAGUCUGACGGAGCAAUGCCGCGUGAGUGAAGAAGGUUUUCGGAUCGUAAAACUCUGUUGUAAGGGAAGAACAAGUACGUUAGUAACUGAACGUACCUUGACGGUACCUUACCAGAAAGCCACGGCUAACUACGUG
This 499-nucleotide ribosomal RNA is filed under the name uncultured bacterium. Its description in RNAcentral is "partial 16S ribosomal RNA". It matches the Rfam family "Bacterial small subunit ribosomal RNA", at positions 28 to 507 of the family's 1533-position model. The record is from RNAcentral.